This 1446-nucleotide ribosomal RNA is filed under the name uncultured organism. RNAcentral describes it as "16S ribosomal RNA". It matches the Rfam family "Bacterial small subunit ribosomal RNA". The record is from RNAcentral.
CGAACGCUGGCGGCGUGCUUAACACAUGCAAGUCGAACGGAAAGGCCCUGCUUUUGUGGGGUGCUCGAGUGGCGAACGGGUGAGUAACACGUGAGUAACCUGCCCUUGACUUUGGGAUAACUUCAGGAAACUGGGGCUAAUACCGGAUAGGAGCUCCUGCUGCAUGGUGGGGGUUGGAAAGUUUCGGCGGUUGGGGAUGGACUCGCGGCUUAUCAGCUUGUUGGUGGGGUAGUGGCUUACCAAGGCUUUGACGGGUAGCCGGCCUGAGAGGGUGACCGGCCACAUUGGGACUGAGAUACGGCCCAGACUCCUACGGGAGGCAGCAGUGGGGAAUAUUGCACAAUGGGCGGAAGCCUGAUGCAGCAACGCCGCGUGCGGGAUGACGGCCUUCGGGUUGUAAACCGCUUUCGCCUGUGACGAAGCGUGAGUGACGGUAAUGGGUAAAGAAGCACCGGCUAACUACGUGCCAGCAGCCGCGGUGAUACGUAGGGUGCGAGCGUUGUCCGGAUUUAUUGGGCGUAAAGGGCUCGUAGGUGGUUGAUCGCGUCGGAAGUGUAAUCUUGGGGCUUAACCCUGAGCGUGCUUUCGAUACGGGUUGACUUGAGGAAGGUAGGGGAGAAUGGAAUUCCUGGUGGAGCGGUGGAAUGCGCAGAUAUCAGGAGGAACACCAGUGGCGAAGGCGGUUCUCUGGGCCUUUCCUGACGCUGAGGAGCGAAAGCGUGGGGAGCGAACAGGCUUAGAUACCCUGGUAGUCCACGCUGUAAACGGUGGGUACUAGGUGUGGGGUCCAUUCCACGGGUUCCGUGCCGUAGCUAACGCUUUAAGUACCCCGCCUGGGGAGUACGGCCGCAAGGCUAAAACUCAAAGGAAUUGACGGGGCCCCGCACAAGCGGCGGAGCAUGCGGAUUAAUUCGAUGCAACGCGUAGAACCCUACCUGGGUUUGACAUGGAUCGGGAGUGCUCAGAGAUGGGUGUGCCUCUUUUGGGGUCGGUUCACAGGUGGUGCAUGGCUGUCGUCAGCUCGUGUCGUGAGAUGUUGGGUUAAGUCCCGCAACGAGCGCAACCCUUGUUCACUGUUGCCAGCACGUUAUGGUGGGGACUCAGUGGAGACCGCCGGGGUCAACUCGGAGGAAGGUGGGGAUGACGUCAAGUCAUCAUGCCCCUUAUGUCCAGGGCUUCACGCAUGCUACAAUGGCUGGUACAGAGAGUGGCGAGCCUGUGAGGGUGAGCGAAUCUCGGAAAGCCGGUCUCAGUUCGGAUUGGGGUCUGCAACUCGACCUCAUGAAGUCGGAGUCGCUAGUAAUCGCAGAUCAGCAACGCUGCGGUGAAUACGUUCCCGGGGCUUGUACACACCGCCCGUCAAGUCAUGAAAGUUGGUAACACCCGAAGCCGGUGGCCUAACCGUUGUGGGGGAGCCGUCGAAGGUGGGACUGGUGAUUAGGACUA